UGCAAUUGUAAAUGUGCAAUUGUGUGUAUGUAUAUAGGCAUUUAUAAGCUCUGGAUUCAACAGAUUGUAUGGAUGUGUCAUAAAGAAAAAAGGUACGAAAUUGUAUACCACAUCAUAAUAUUUCUCCAAUUCUUCCUCAUUUUUUAUAGACCAUUCAUCCAAAAAAGGGUCGAACAGGAAAGCGUGGUGUUCGGACCAGUCGGACUCGGACUCGGACUCGGACCCUGACCCCGACCCUCGGGCUCGGAUUCGGACCUGUCAGAAUCGGCCUCGUCGGACUCGGUGCUGCGCACGUACUCGUAAUCCUCUUCGGACUCGUAAUUGGCGUCGAGGUCGUCAAACUGAAGUCCAUCCCGGUUUAGGGAUGACAUUUCGCUGGAAGAGGAUGACUUUCCUUGGUCGGCGUCUUUGUCCGCUACUUCUUCUCCGUCGAUUCCUCGAUCCUCCGCCGCUGGUUGAUAAACUCCAAGUUCUUCGUCGCAGGAAAGAAACUUUCCCGAAGCCAACUGAAGAGCAAACAAACCCUAAUUCUUUGGAUUUGCUUUAAGGCGAUUUCGAGGGCUGCGAAUCCGCGAUGUAUAUAUAAACGAACUUCCUUGUUCCUAAUAUUUUGUAUUCUUUUAGCCCUGACUCAUAAGAUGGAUUCUUCUUGGGCCCCGGGGUAUAAUCUAAAAUACUACAAUUUGGUGCUACACCUAUCUUGGAUUGCUUUUAUGGCGCAAAGCUGAGUCAUCUCUGCACAGUGGCUAGAAGUAAUAGGAAUAGGACAACACAGCUAGGUGGGGGAUAAUAGACAAAAAUGAAAAUUGUAACUGAAGGCAGGCUAGAACGGAUAAUGAACAAGAGGCCCACAGUUUAAUUUUAGAACUUCCCUAAAAUAAAGCCCGUCUUGACGGAGGAACAAAGAUGCCACUUUCCUUCUGAUUUAAUGCUUUUUUAAGUAUCCAAUAAUUUAUUGUCACGUAAACUUUUUCAAAUAUUCUAUUAUAAUAACAAUACACCUACAUUCACUAAGUAUUAUUUAUUAGUUAAUAGCAAUGGAUUUUAUUUUUUUUGAAUCCAUAGAGUGUUUUAUAACUAAAAAUAUAGAUAUAGGUUUACAUUUUUUUUCUUUUUCCUAUUCUUUUUUUUCUAAAUUUUCUUUACUCUCUUAAUUUCUUCUAGUAUUUGUUAAAUUUUUAUUGUUAAUUAAAAACAUCAAUUACAUUGGUGAAUAAAUAUUGAUUCCCCAUUAAAAUAAUAGUCAAUCAAACAAUGAGCUUACGAUAUUCAUUAGCUCAUUCCAAUUAGCCUUAAUCAAAUGAUAAGUAUCACUAUGAAUAGUUUUGAAACUCAUUCCUUAAGGAACCAGAUUACCUAAUGCCUUCUAAGUACACGAAAUAAAUUGACUUGUGCUAAACUUGAUUGAUGGUAUAUAAAUUUUUCGUGAAGAUUCAUGAAAUAUGCGAUGCCAUUCUCAAACUGAGUUUUGUUUUUAACUUAAUGUUUUGAGAGUAUGCAAAAUGAAUCAAUGACCAAUUGUUAGUAAAGAAAAAGAAAAAUCAAUGAACGAUUGGUACUUAAUAUUAUAUUAGUGCAUAAGAUACAUUCUAGGUCUGUGAAAUUAAUCAAAAUUAUGGUCUUUUGUAAAAAUAUUAUUCAUGAAAAUUAAGUUUUGUAAAGAAUAUUUAUGAUGUGGCGAUUAGUUAUUUGGUAAUUAAUUUCAAUUGGCCAAUUACUGACAUAAUUUUAGUUCAUAUUUUAAAACAGGAGGGUGUGCAAUUAAUUAAUUGACACAACUAUCCUUGAAAAUAUAGUUUUUACUCUGGGGAAAAAUUAUAUGCUCUUAAUAAUAAGGGUAUAAAUGAAAGUUUAGAAAAUACUAAACAUGUGUAAACACUAAAUGAUAAUGCUCAUAAUCUUUAACUUUAUAUAUUGUAUAGAUAGUAUAAAAAGGUUUAAUAUUUUUUUAUUGAAAGUAGUUCUACUAGUCUGAAUGCAUGUCACGUGUAUUUUUUUAAAGUUAAAUUCAAUUUUGGAUUAUUUUAAAAGUUUGUUUUUUAGAUGUUUUGCUUUCUUUCUAAUGUUUAACUCAUUGAAUUUUUUUAACACUUCGUUCAGUUGAACUCCCAGAUUUGCAAGGUCAGCUGAUGGCGUCAUUGCAAAUCUAUCGGACGAUUCAGGAUGUGGACUUAUGUUUACACUAUUUUUCAAAACUUGACUACGUGGUCGUGUAAUGAUGGAGCUUCUUCGUUUAACUAUGUUUACAAUUACCUGAAAAUUUAAAAAAUCCUUUUUAAACUUCCCUCUUGAUUAACUGUUGACAAAAAGAAAAAAAAAAAGAAAAGGAUGUGAGUUAGUAAAAAUUAAAGUAAUUCGAAUAUAUGUCCUAUUGGGGGAGCCCUUUUUGUGCCAAGGGUUGGCCUAGAAUGAGAAUGCAUCCUCUAGAGUAGCACUAUACAAUACCUGACGAACUUGAUCAACUUAUUGAUAUUCGAAUGAAAAGUAAUUUAAAAAAUUUGAUCAAUUGUAGUGACAAGUCCAUUUAAAACAUGGUUUAUUAAUCUCAUGAAAGUACUUGGAGCAUUUGUUAAACUAAAAGGCAUCAUAAGUCACUCAUAAAGACCAUACUUUGUUUUGAAAGCAGUUUUUCAUUCAUCUCCUUCCUUUAUCCUUAUUUGAUGAUAACCAGAUUUUAAAUCAAUUUUAGUGAAAAUGAUUGCUCCACACAAUUCUUCUAACAUAUCAUCUAACCUAGGAAUAGGAUGACGAUACUUAACAGUAAGUUUAUUAAUUGCAUGACAAUCUGUACACAUUCUCCAAGUCCCUUCUUUCUUAGGCACUAAAAUGACUAAAACUGCACAAGGACUAAGAGAUUCACGAACCUGUUCCUUUUCAAGGAUGGAAUCGACUUGCCUUAGGAUUUCCUUUAUUUUCUCCGGAUUUGCUCUAUAAGUUGGUCGAUUUGGUUGAAUUGCUCUAGGAACAAAGUCGAUUUGAUGUUCAAUACCUCGAAUUGGAGGUAAUCCUUUCGAUAGUUCCUCCCGAAACAUAUCCUUGAAUUCCUGCAAAAGAUGAUAGAUUGCACUAGGAAGAGAAUCGGUUAUGCCUAGUGUGUAAAAAGAAAAAUAAUCAGUUUCCCUGUACAUAAGUACUAUGAGAAGACUUUGUACAUUCAAAACCCUAUCUAUCUCACGCAUACUUGCAUAAAAGUUCUUUUUUUUUCACUUUCAAACUCUCGGCCUUACUGAAUCUUUUUCCACUCGAAUUUUCUUUUUCACUCAACUCGGCCUCUACUUUCUUUUUCCCCUUAUUCUCUCUCGCAUUCGGUUUUUUCUUUGCCUCUCUCGACUGCAUUUUCUCUCUCUCUUUUCUUAGAUGUAAUUGUUUUUCAUACACUUGUGUAGGUGUCAAGGGUGAAAGAGCGAUUUUGAGAUUGUCCAUAAUGAACUUAUACUUAUUAGUGAAUCCAAUAUGAUCAACCUGUUUAUUAUACUCCUAGGGACGCCCCAAUAAGACAUGACUAGCAUGCAUAGGAAUUACAUCGCAUAAAAUUCGGUCCUUGGAUGGACCAAUAGAAAAAACAAUUAAAACUUAUUUGAUCACCUUGACUUCCCCCCCCCAUCAUUUAACCAAAACAAACUAUAGGGUUUAGGGUGGUAAGUCCAUAGAAUGCGCUUUUGCUCAACAAAAUCGGCAGCUACACAAUUAGUAUAAUAGUCACUAUCAAUGAUCAUAAGACAUAUCUCAUCUCCAAUUUUGCAUCUCGUAUGAAAGAUGUUGGUCUGUUGGAGAUCAUCUUCUUAAGCUUGUGUAUAAGCACUCUCAUAGUCACUAUAGCUCGAGCUAUGGGGUCCUUUUCUAUUUCAACCAUGUCAUCAUCCUUUUCUUCUUUUUCAAACGAUGGCAUAUCAGCGUACUUCUCAUCUUCUUCGCUUUGUCACACUCCAUCUUUAUUCAUGUACAUGAUGUUUUGGUUAGGGUAUUAAGCCAUGAGGUGGCCAAUUCCCUUGCAUUUGAAACAUGCUUUUGGCUGGUUGGUAGAUGCAUUUGCCUCUAGAAGAGUCGGCCGUGGGGCUGGUUUAAAAGAAGUUACACUUGGAUUGGAAAUUUGUUCAAUCCACUUGUUUUUCCUUUCUCUAUUAUCUUGUCUUGGCCAAAUAUUGGAUGUUGGCAAUUGAUUUCUUCUCCAAGGAGUGAAAGAGAAUGUAGUGGUUUGGCAACUAGGUGUUUUUAUAGGCAAGGUUUGCUUUUCCACCUUCUCUGCAUAAGAAACCAUUUGUUAAAGUGCAAAGUGAUCUUGAAGCUCAACUUUCUUCCUGAUUUCAGAAUUUAAUCCAUUAAGGAAUCUCGCCAUGGUUGCUUCUGGAUGCUCUUGUACAUUGGCCCUUAUCAUCGCUACUUCCAUUUGCUUGUAGUACUCAUCAAUCGAAUUAGACCCUUGAGUGAGUCGUUGGAGCUGAUUGUACAAGUCCGUAGUAUAAUGGAAGGGUAUAAAUCGUUUCCUCCUCACUUGCUUCAUUUCAGUCCAAGUGUCAAUCGAUUGUUCCCUAUUUCUUCUCCUUGUGGCACACACUUGCUCCCACCAAAUAGAUGCAUAAUCUUGAAAUUCAACAACUGCAAGUUUCACCUUUUUCUCUUAAGAGUAAUUGUGAAUUUCAAACACUUGCUCGACUCGUCUAACCCAAUCCAAGUAAGUUUCAAGAUUAUUUUUCCCAUGAAAGGUAGGCAUCUUGGUAUUGAUGGAACCAAGAUUGUCAUCGGUUCUCCUAGGUCAGUCUCAACCUUCCCUUGCUCCCCUUUGGUUUUUUCUUGAUCGAAAUGAGGUGUUAAAUUGAUAUCCCUCAUCAUCUGCAUAAUGAUCAUCAUUCUGAACACUCGAAACUCUAUUGUGUGUAUCUCCGGUACCUCGCAUCUCAAUGGUAGCUAACCUGUCGGAUAAUUGUAUCAUCACAAAUUCAUGUCUCUUCGCUCGUUUUCGAAGAGUUUGGAGCACCAGUUUGUUUGACACGUCUGCCUCAAGUGGCUCAGGUAUAUUCCACUCUUGAGACAUAUUGUCAAACCUGCAAAACAAGUAUAUCCUAAUCUACCUUGCAAAGCACUCUUGAAUCACUCAAGGAAAACACACUCACUCCCAAUUUUCCUUCUCAAAAUUCUUAAAGAAAACUCAAACUCUCAAAAAUUUCAGAAUUAAGAAUUCAAACCAAACAACUCAAGACUUAACAAAAAAUUGAAUGAGUAAAAAAAUGUGACACUAAUAACUCCUAGAAAACUGGAAAUUCGACUCAAAUAGUGAAGACGCAAUUUUAAGUACUGGAGUAGUGACUCUGGAUGUACAAUAGGUUAGUUAAUUCACCUUGAUUCCAAAGAGUUGGAGUAAUCCGAUAUACCAGAAUUUCAAGAAAUUAUUAAUUGCCCUAUAAGCAAGUAAUAAGACACAAAGCAAAAUUUUGCAAAUCCUAAAAAUCCUAGAAUUCGUACCUUGUCUUGCUUAAAAAUUUAGUUUGCUGUUAGGUAGGUGUUUAGGGGUAAUGUCACGUGUGGUAGGUGGUUUUUCGGUGGUAAAAAGUGGAUUGAAGGGGUGAAAAAUGAAAAGUUUAGGUUGUUUAAGGUGUGCAUACACAAGGGUAAGGAUUGGUAGGUAUGAACAGAUGCGUUCACACUCGGUCCAUCCUUUCCAAAUAUAGAAAUUUAAUCUUAUCAGAUUUUGGAAGUCCUUUUCAAUUAAGAUUUGGAAUCUUUCUUUGGAUAUGAUUGAGACUUUCCAAUUAACAACUUUCAACCUUAAUCCAACAAGAAUUUGGAAACCAACAACAAUUCGAAUUUGGAAACGAUUUUUUUUCUUUUUGUUUUGUACAAGAACUCCAAGAUUCACGAUAUCUUGGUUCAACAAUCUCAAGUUAUAGUUCACACAAUCAAGAUAUUCAAGAAUGUCAAGAACUUCAAGAUUGAUUUCAAGAAUUUCAAGAACUGAUAGCGGAUAUUGCAAACAAAAUUCUCAGCAAUUAACAAUCAAGAAUUGAAAGAUACGUGACACAUAAACUAGAAACCCUAAGUUGGACAGCAAGAAAUAGAAACAAACAAGAAUGUUUUUUUUUUACUCGGAUGAACAGUAACGAUUAACAAUAACAUGAACAGUAUGCUACAGUAUGAUGAACAGUAUGUGCUACAGUAUUUUUUUUUUUUUUUUUAAACAAAAGACACAAACUAACAAGAUAUGAACAACUUCAAUUGAAAGAAAUUAACCUGAUGCUCUGAUACCAACUGAUGAACAACCCUAGGGAAAACUAUCCUAGAACCUCCCAACUCGGUAAUAUUAGAGUUGGACCUUUUCUCCCAACAGAAAUUGAACUCAAUUGUUCUCAUGAACUCAAGAUCUCUAACACACGAAGGUAAUCAGUAACCUUAAGCAAAUGAUGAUGGAUGAAGAGACACCACAACUAGAGAACAAACUAAUCGAUAAAGUUUGAUUUGAAUCCUAAUCUAUGAACUCAAGAAUUCAAGAGUAAGUUCGAUCAAGAACUUGAAGGAAAAAUACUCACGAUUUCUGGUUGUAAUUUUUCAUCCCUAAUUUCCGAAAGACAAAAGCCUUAUAUAGGCGUGUAAAAGACCUAAACUAAGCUGCCAACAAAACCUAAUCCGACUUGGAAUUUCCCUUGCUAAACUCGGCCCAAGUCCAAGUGCAACUUAGGAAAACCCUAAUCAACUUAACACAAAUAAUAACAUUGGUGCUUGACUAAAGCAAGCUUAUGACCAACUAGAUACUUAAGGACUAAAACUAGAGGACAACAUGUCCUUUGUGCGAUUAACAAGCUACUAAACUAGGCAGUUUUAAAAUAACUACUAACUAAGCUAACAAGUAUGAGAUCAUUCUUUCACUUCAAAUGUACAAGUGAACAAGGUGAUUUCAUGGUCCACCAAAUAUUUUAACUUAGCUUGCUCCUUGCUUGUAUGGUGAAUGAUCAAGACUCGUAAAGCUUCCUUCACCCUCUUAGAUUUUGAUCUUGUCAUCGGACCACCAAUGUUGACCAAAGAGUUGAACCCCGUAUCUGCAUCACUCUAUAAACACCCCAGGAUCAAACUCUUGAACCUAGGGCUCUGAUACCACUUUAUUCUGAUACCACUUUGUUAGCACAAAAAAUCACGGAGUAGAAGUGAUAUUAAAUUCUUACAAACAGUGAAUAGUAAGAAAGGCAUAGGAGGAAACAAAAUUUAGGAUUUCAAGUCCUUAAAUAAGAAAACAAAUAAUAAAAACUAUUGUAAUUCUAAUUCCUCAACAAUAAAACAACCAUAACUUAACUCCACUAUAAUUGCUAAAAUCCUAAUUUGACUAAAAGGCUGCUAAAUUAUUAUAUGGAAAUUUCUAUUUUUUAGGCUUGAUUUAAUAUGCCAAUAUUAUCUAAUCAGAUUUACAGAUUUUAUUAUUAUUUCUGUUAUGUGAUUUUUUGUGCUAACAAGCAAGAUUUUAAGGCGAUGAAAAGAAUAAAAUUUCGUUCAGUGCAACUCAAUAAAGAAAUUAAUUGUGCGCGUCAAAAUUUAGGAGUUUCUUAGGGUGGAGAAUAUGUUUGACAUAUGAAACUCGUAGUGCAAUUCUGAAAGGAAAAAGGAAAUGCAUUAAUUAGCAAAAUGAGUUAAUUUGUAACUGGAAAAUGGUUGUAUCUUAUGAACAAGCUACUUAUUAUUGUUUCUAUUUUCCUUGAAUGCCUAAAAUUUUUGUUACCUUUGGUAAAUAGCAGCCAUUCAUGUUGUAUGCUGAUAACUUAGAACAUGAAACAUGCAGUCUUGUGAUCAUGAGCAAAGUUUUGUGUAUUGAAAAGCCACUAUAUAUACGCACACACACACACACUCCUCUACCACUACUAGACUGCAUACAUUAUAUUCUAUCUAACUUAGAUUACUUUAAUUUCGUCAAGGAAAAAAGACUGUGAGUGGUUCGGGAUUUUUGCCAACUUGAACUCGAAAUCGGUGUUUCCAGGCGCUCCUUCAUCUUUCCAUAUCUUUAACCCUGUCAAAGAUGGAAAUGGCUAUCAAAUGGCAAUCAAACGGUGAUUUCCCUGUAGAUAACUGACCUUUUGCAAGAGUUUAACAGCAUUCAAUGGAUUCUAAUAACUGCUAAAAACGAUGAUUCUAUCUGUAAAUCAAACGUUAAUCCUGGAAGGAGAAGCGCAUAGCUCGAUAACGGAGAUUGAACACGAACUUUCCUCAAAUAAGGACGCGUGGAAAUACGAUAAAAGCAAAUAUUGACAUCAUGGCACUUACCAAAAGUAAAAAAGUAUGUACAUCAUAGAACGCGCAUAGAGAAUUAGAAAGUCAAGAAUUAUUUGCAAAAAAACAAAGGAAUUAAGCCAUUUUUUUGAGAUUAAAAUUACUCGUAAAUAUUAUAAAAAUCUAAUUUGACAAAUAUGCGGCGAUGAAUCAAUUCUAGGAUAGUGACAGCAAUCAGUAAGAUCAAAGGAUUGAUCUUGCUUUCUGUAAAGUUAGACUAGAAGUUCGAUUACAUGCCUUAAAUUUGCUAAAAGAGGGAGCAAACAAUAAUAUCAUCUAAUCAAAGACUUCUUACCUUAGUUUCUUGAAGUAAAAAGGCUGGCCUGUCCGGUCAUCUUCACCAGCUUGAACUUGAAAACCCUUUUCCCAAGCAGACCUUUGUCUUCCCACAUCUUCUCCACUGUGUACAAUCCAUCGUAGAAGUAGGUGGUGGAGGCCCUUGGUAACUUACAACCGCGGAUAACCCUAACAGGGUUCUUUGCCCUUAUGCUAUUCAGCAAUGCCAAGUUUCCACCUUUCAGCUGCUGAUCUUCAUGCAUUAUUUCCUUCCUGACCACAGUAUACAAGCGUAUCUUGAUCUGCCUUGUAGUUAUCGUAAAGCCCAGAAUCUAUGAUACUGGUCGCAAUAAUUCUUCCUCCAUCCUGCACAUACUCAAUCCCUCCUGAGACGGACGAUGCAGCCCUAAAAUGUACAGCUCCAUUCUGUAGUGGAAUUCAUCUCCAAUUUCCACUCCAGGGACUGGGCCAAGGAGGGGCUUAUCUGGGUAGUAAUAGAAUUUCUUUUUAAUCAUCUUUGCUGCCAUGAAAUCAACCCUCUUCCUCUUGUAAUUAUCCUCUUUAUCCAUCCUCAUGAUUUGGUCACAAAAAGCUCGAAUUCUCUUACAAUUUCCAUCACUCUCUGCCUGGCCCUCUCAACAUUUUUUGGGAGCUUUUUUCCCUGAGUAGAAGCAGUACUAGCAGCGGGUAACUGGGAAUGAUCCUUUAAGAUGAACUCAUUUUGCAUUCUUGGUGGUGAUCCCCAUCCUCUUUGUGUCUAAUACUGCCAGAGACAUUUUCUUCCGCCAUUGAUGUAGUUCCAAUAUCUUUUGGAGAGUUAAUAUGAUCAAUCUGGAUUUCUGACCCAUCAGCCUUGCCAGCAUCAGCCGGUCUUCUGAAAACUCCAUGUGGGACUUGAACUACCGGGAAAACCUUUCGACCCUUGUGAAAUCUGGUGUUAGAAAAAUGGCAAUGGCAAUGGCAAUGAUCUGUGCUUGUAUUGCCAACCUCCUCCAUUUUUCUCUUGUUCUGCCUUCUUCCUAGUGAUGAAGGCUCCAUGGUAGAAGUCUUGGAUUAUGGGCUUCUGUCACCAAACUCAAGCUGAUCCCAAUGGCUCCUUGGCCGAAGUAUUGGAAUUCAGCUUGAGCAACAGAAUAGGGAUGAGAUGAAGGUGGAAAGAGAGAAAUGUAAAGAGGGUACUGAAGGAAGAAGUUAAGGGAACUUGCAGAGAGGGAGGAAUUAUUCCAUUCACUCCAAGGAUUCUCUUACAAAUCAGUAAAAGUCUGCCAUUGCCAUUCCCGGGUGCAGAGCCGCACUACUAAUACUAGUGCCUGAGGCUGCAUGUAACGAACUGCUGACAUGGAUCAAUUCUGAAAGAUUCUUUCUAACGACCUCACAACACGACAAUUACGAAGAAAACGACACAGUUUACAAUUAAAUGUAAACUAGUAAAAUCAUAUUACAAUUAUAGAAUAAUCUCGAUCGAAUUACCAAUACUUUGGUGUCACCUUCAAGGGUAAAUGUCAAAAAGAAUGAGCACUGUUAUUCUUUAUGCACUCAUACAUAAAUGUGGCUUAAAUAUUUAUGCUAACGCCAAAAAGAAGUUCCUUAAAGUUGAAUUGUUAACAUGCCUAUGGGUUAAUAAGAUUACAGCUAUAAAAAUAUCAGCAGGAUGUCAGUCACACUAUUUGAGUAUAUAUAUAUAAUCAUAUUGUCUUGCUAUCAAUUUGCUCUUUUUCGGAUAGGCAAAUUGAUUCCAAGAACUUUGUUUUUACGUCCCAAUUCAGUACCAAUAUAGAUUUAUGUAUCAAAUUGCAAAUUUCUCAAGCAGGCAUGACCAUUUUCAUAAAUUAGCAGCUAAUUAUAUGUGGUCCCCUAUUUUCAUUUUUCACAGGCUAUCAGUUUGGGCAGUAAAUUAUUUACUUCUGCAUUGUAUUGUAUAACCCUCCAAGAAAGUGCUAAGAAAAAAUCAGAAUCCGAAGAUCCAUUCAAGAAUAACUAGUUCUUUAUCAGAAUAUUUUACCACAAGCUCACGUUCACUUUUAUGUGUUCCUUUGCUAAAGAAGAAAAAUUCCAUGAUGAUGGAGUCCACCAUUGGCCAACAAAUUGGUCCACAUGAAAGAGUUAAAGAGCACAACUUUUGUUUUCUAAUCACCUUUCAUCUAUAAACCUCGGAUUGCAUUCAAGUAUGUCCAGUAAGAAAAGGCUAAAAGAGAGCUGGGGUGAAGCUUUUUCCUUUUAAGUAGGAGUGGGCGGCAUUUUUGUCAAACUUUUCUCUUCUUUAUCUGCAUCAACUCUUCAUUUGAAUCCCAUAAUGAAGGGGCUCAUUAGUUUAAGCUCCACAUUUUUUAAGCUCGUUUUUUGAACGCUCAAAGUACAUGAUUAAUUAUUAGGCUGAUUGUGGUGCUUAUACAUAUAUACUUAAAGCAUGAAUUACCAAAGAUUUUAACACGUUUAGCAACGCUAUAAAGAGAGAGCAUGUGAAGGGAUUCCAUUUAUCAAUAGAGAUUAGAUACGCGAAGUAAUUCUUUAACUAAUUCGUCUACUUAUAUUGUAUUGAAUGCAUCUUUCUGCAUCUUCAACAUAAGGAGAUUUCUAUGAAGAGCUAUUUUCAUUUAAGUGCAGAUUUGGUGAAUCUCCUUGGAAUUGGAGGAGGUUGGAGGUAAGUUGUUGUCUCGCUUUUCUCCUUGGAAUUGCAAUGUUUUCAGGAAAUGUAUUGUUUUUGCGUUAAAAGAGAAUUAAACUGAUCAUAUUCUUACCAAUCAUCGUGAUAUGUAAGUAAAUGAUUGUAAUGAUAUUGUGUGAAUAUGGAGUUUGAACUACGAAUUUUAAUUUUUUUUGAUUAAUAAACUUUCAUUGAUCUUAAAAGAAGUCGGCACUAGUAACAGCGAUUACAUACAUCAUAUAUGAAAUGAAAGAAAUCUUCUUCGCAGACCAUAAAAUCAGCAAAACAAAUAACUCAUUUAUAAACUAUGCAAUUUUAACAAUCCAUGCUACGGAUGGUAACUGAGACAUGUCCAUGUGUAAGAGGAGGAAGGGGGUUGGAGCGAAGGAGGGGUGGGUUAGGGGAAGGGGAAUUUUUGCCUUAAAUAGAGCGGAGUGUCUCCCCAUCAAUUGCAUAAAUAUAAAAAUUUAUACAUAUAACAUAAAUUCCUGAUUAUUCGUGAGUAUAUAAUCUAUAAAUCUGAUGUUGGUGGUCUCUUGAAUAUUUGCUUGUUCUUAAUCCUUGAAUAUACAUACAUUAGAGGGUUCUAAUUGGAUUUUUGCUUGUCCUUUAAUUCUUGAGUUCAUAUACCAUUAAAGGGUUCUUAUUUAUGGGUGCUUAAGUUUCUGGUUCAUAGACCAGAUGGUUUGGCUCCAGUAAAUCUGAUAGACCCUAACGUUGUUGAUGCAGUGACGUGGUAGCAGAAGCGACUUAAUAGUAUUCGUUCAAAAAAUUAAGGUCCGAUUUGAUAACCCAAUUCGGUAUUUAAAUUUAAUGGAUUUAUAUUUUAGACUGUUUGAGAACCAAAAAUUGAACAUCUGAAUUAAUUAAGUGGUACUGAAUUUUCUAGGCAAAACUUGCUCCCAAAAUUAAGUGAUAAGUUAUUCACUUAUCACUAAAUGUGAUAUGCACUCAAAUGUAUUAUAUUUAAUAUUUAACAAUUCAAUAAAUUAAUGGAUUCAGUUUUCAGAUUUCAGACUUCAAUUUUUAUCAAAUACACCCUAAAUCCAUAAGAAAGAAUCAAGGGUCGAUCAAACCUUCCAAAGAUAACAAGAUUCAACAAGAACCUAAACAACUCAGUUAAGCCACUCCAAGGGACAUGGUAAAGCCAACAACUCAGUUAAUUUGAUUCAUUUGUAGGUUAAUACAAUAGCUUUAACUAAGCCCACCACUACUACCAGAUAUGUAUAAGGAAUAAGAAACUAUGAGAUAAGGAAAAUACUUAAUAAGAAACUCCUAAAUACAUCUAAUUAGAAUAGGAAACAAAAUGAUUAAAAACUGAUAUAAACUUCAAUUAUCCACUAGGUAAGGAUCCGCUCGUGGAUCCGUUUGGCGAGUCACAGAUCCCCGAAGUAGAUCCAAAUAGCACCUUCUAAAAUCUUAUCUAGGAAGGGGAUCCGUUGCAAACUUCUAUGAACUAGUUUAAAAACCAGUGCUAUGCACAGCUAUAAAGAAUGUUAUCAAAAAUAAAUAAAUAGUUAUGGGAAUAUAUAACACAUAACAAUUUAAUAAACAAUAGUUUAACCUAUGAAAUGUUAAACAUUUUUUAGCUACCCCUUACUGCUUCUGCCUUUAUAAAUCCAAUCCUUUUCCUUGCUGAAAUUUUUUUUUUAUAAAAAAAAAAAAAACAGUUUUUAGCUACCGUCAACCUAGAACAAACAUGCAUUACCAAAAAAAAAAUGGUAUAACACUUGAAACAUGCCAUAUCAAAUUGUAAUAGAUCCAAAACCAAAUUAUGUUUGCUAAAUGCCAAUUCAUUUCUCAUCCAUCAUGUCCAACAUUCAGAAAAUUCAAAAAGUAUUUUGCCAAAAUUUUAAUUUCAUUUCUUAAUGAUCAUAUCUAUUACCUUUGGCAUAAAAUUCAUACAGUAGUGGAUUUCUUUCAAGAAGUUAACAUUUUAAAUUUCAAAAUUUUUGUUUGUUUAUUUGGCCUAAAAAUAUUCAAUAGUCCAUGAUUUUACAAUUCCUCAUAUUUGUAAACCAUUAAUGUAAUGCUUUAAAUAUAUGCAAUUUAAGUAAUAGAACAUUGGUGAAUAAAGGUGAGCAAACUUCUUAAUCAAGAUAUAGAGUAUGACAAAUAGAAGCAUGCACAGAAAAUAGAAAAAUUGAUAAAAUUAUUUUUACUGUUUAAUUUUCAAAAAAAAUGUGUCAUCAAUGCAAUAUAAUGUAUAAUUAUCACAACUUUUUUUUUGCUCUCCCACCCCUUCCCACACCCUUCCCAUCCCCUAAAUUUAUCAAGACUAAUUACAUAUAUAAACUUCAAGAUUGCCACAAAUUUCUUAAGGAAAAACAAUAUAUAAUCUUGUAUUGGUAUUUCACUUGACAUAAGAAUAAGAAUUAAGUUCUUCUUUUAGUGAAAAACUCUUUUUUUUUUUUGUUUACUAUUCCAUAUCACAAAUAACCUUCUUACAUAAAAAUGGUUAAAGCUCUCUUUUUUUUUUUUGUGCAACCAAAAUUAGACCAUUGGUUGACUGCAUUUUAUAUUUUUAUUUUGAAUGGGAAUUGAAUUUCCUUCCCAUAGCAAAAUCAAAAAAUUGUACAUUUGUUGUUUCAUUUACUAAAUUUAUUAGUCAUUUUUAGCCUAAUAAUUGGAUAAGUUGCUUUCCAUCAUAAUAGUUUAAAAUGUUGUUUCAUUUUAAUUUUUAUUAUUUCACGUACUUUUCUUUUAGUGUAAGUGAAAGAUUUCAAAUUCAAGAUCUCUAUUGAUCUAAAAUGUACAGAUAUAGAAAUGUAAUAUGUAAAAUCUAGCAUUUGUCUAAAUAAUCUCAUGAUCAGAAAACACGAAUAAUAAAUAUAGAAACCAAAGUAGAUCUUGGAGAUAAAGAAAAAAAGACUCACAAUAGUAAUUUAGAUUAGUAUAAUACAUAACCAAAAAUAUAUGUGGAUCAAAAAACUCCUUUUUUUCUAUCAAAUGUUAAAGUCAUGUGCAUCAUCAAGGUGUUAAGAUUUGAAAUAAUUUAAAUUUAGAAAUGAUGAGAAUAUAGUCUAUAAUCAAGAUUUUGAAAUCAACUCAUUACAUUUUAGGAAUUAAAAUAAAUAAAAAAAAUCUACAAAAAAGGAAUUGAGAGCUUGGGAAGAAUUUGAAUUUUGAAAUAAUGAGAAUAUAGUCUACAAUCACGAUUUUGAAAUCAAUUCAUUACAUUUUAGGAAUUAAAAUAAAUAGACAAUCUACAAAAAAGGAAUUGAGAGUUUGAAAACAAUUUAAGUUUUGAAAUGAUGAGAACAUAGACUACAAUCAAGAUUUUGAAAUUAACUCAUUAAUUUUUUGGAAUUAAAAUAAAAAGAAAAUCUACAAAAAAAAUGGAAUUGAGAGUUUAGAAAUAAUUGAAAUUUUGAAAUGAUGAGAAUAUAGUCUACAAUCAAGAUUUUGAAAUCAAUUUAUUACAUUUUAGGAAUCAAAAUGAAUAGAAAAUCUAUAAAAAAGGAAUUGAGAGUUUGGAAAUAAUUUAAAUAUUGAAAUGAUGAGAACAUAGCCUACAAUCAAAAUUUUGAAUCAACUCAUUACAUUUUAGGAAUUAAGAUAAAUAGAAAAUCUACAAAAAAAGGAAUUGAGAGUUUAAAGGCUUAGGGUGGCUUUUAACCAAAAAUCCCUUUUGUGAUUUAUAUAGAUAUGGAUCUACGCACGGCUCCUUUUUUUUUUAACAAAAAUUUGUAUAAACUAGACUCCAGUCACUACCAUGAGUCAGGGUAUAAGCCGCUCACAGAGAUGCUUGUAUUCGCCCACCAACAAAACUCUCAUGUCGGUAGCGAAAUUCGAACACACCACCUUUUAUAAGAAAAUUACCCGUCCUUACCAACACAGCCCUCAUAUUAGCACGGAUCCUUUGUGAAAACAGGAUUUCGUGGCUUUUUUCUUCCUCUUUCCUCGCACUUCCUAAAACUUCCAAACGAUGCUCCAUAGACUCUCAUGUCGCCAAAGGACGUUUCGCAUCAGUUAAAGGACGUUUCGCAUCAGUUAUAGCUAGAGAUGGCAAAAUGUGCAGUAGCCAUGCACAACAAAAAGGCCAGUUCUAUUAGUACUAGACUAGUAGAAAUUGUAGUAGUAACAUGAAUAGCUCCAUAUCCAUAAGAAAAGUGUAGAUCUAACAUAUAUAACCAAAAUCAGAGAAUUCUAUGUGAGAGCUGACAGGAAAACAAGAGAGAAUAAGAACAAAAAAAGAGGGAUAAACUCUCGUUCAAAAAUUUUUUAAGCGAGAGAAAAGUUUCACUAGUUGUGAAUUGAUCAUUGAUUGUAAAUGGAUAGGUGCUAAGGUUUUUUUUUCGCCUAUUUCGGGAAAAAGUAGCAUUGGUAAAAUCGGGACGGAUGUAAUUGGACUUUGUCCACCGGGUAUAAACAUCUUUCUUUCUUUCUUUUUUAAUUGAUAUGUGUGGAAAGCAGGAUUAAACUGAGACAUAAUUAUUCGAGAUUUUUCUUGUCAUGGUUAAUGUGAGAAAUUACAAACUGUAAAAUUUGAUUUUUUUUUCUAAAAUCGACAGUGAUUUUCAAAAAUAAAAAUAUUAGACAGUUCCGUAAUAUUAUUGUUCAUGGAGGUUUGUUGGUUAUCCAUGGAUCCUAAUUGAGUUUUAAUCGUAGCGAUCCCAAAGACAGGUUUUCCAAAAUUAUAUGCUUCUUGUAAGUACUAAUAGAGAGAGGCAUUUCGGCUGCUUGCUUUGUGAAGGCGCUCAAUCUAUCUAUUUCUUUAAGUAUCCAACUAAAACUCAUUAAGGACACCUAUCUAUGGACAGGGCUACAAUCAAAUUGAAUUGAGUUUGAGUAGCGCAUGGUGACUUUAAAGAAAAGGUUCUUCAAGAAUUAUUUAAUUGAGUUUGAGUAGAAAGGCAUUUUGGCUUCUUUAUUAGUGGUGGCGCUCACUCCAUUUAUCUCUCCAAGGACCAAACUGAGACUCAUUUAAGGGAAGCAUAUCUAUGAAAUAGCGCUACAAUUGACUCAAGUCAGCUAAUAAAGGGAAGCUUACCUAUGAAAUAGCUAUGUUUUCAGAACCGGACCGGGUAUCGACUCGAUCGAAUUCAGAGAUUAGGGGUCAAUGGGUUCAACCGAGUUCGAUUGGAGUUGAACUGGAUGACGUCAUAAAUAAAAAUUAUUUAAAAAUUAAAAUAUUAUAUGUAAAAUACUUAAUAACAUGUUAAUAGUAAUAAAGGUAUAUUCAUAUAUAUAUUUGAUGUUUCAAAUAUAUUUAACAAGAAAAUACAAAAAAAUUAGAAUGAUCAAUUAGCAAUUUAUAUUAUUCAAUGAACAUUAACAAGUUUAGAAUUAAAAUUAUGGAUUUGAUUGAAAAAUAACACCAAACUUUAAGACAAUAUUUAUAAAGUAUGAAAUAUUUGAGGUAUAUUAAUAAUUUUAACAACCUAGGGAGUAAAACAUAAUAUUAAAAAUGUUUUGACCUUUCAAAAAAAUAUUGAGCUGCAGGACUGAGGCUGAGGUCUCUGCUGCCAUGUCAGGUAUGUGCUUCAAUUAAGAAGGCUGCCGGUAUAUCUUUCCAUCGGCCCACCAGGAUUCCCGCCGUUGGUACUUGCAAGCCGGCCUUGUUCAAAAUGCAAAUUUUCCUCUCAGUGGACUGUAGAGGUGGCAAAAUAGGCGGGAUGGGCGGGAUUUGCUUGGGUUUAAGAUAGAACCGAAUCAUAUGGGUUUGGGCCCAACCUUAUCCAUAUAUGUUUUGGGACUAACUUGGGCGGGAUCACUUUGGGAUGGGUUUAGAUUGAUCCGCCCAAUACCCAAAUCUAUUUUCUACAUAUUUUUUUCUUUAAUUUAUUUUUAUUUUUUAUAUAAUUUUAAUAUUUUUUAUUUAUUAAAUUUCUUUUAGUUUUAUUAAAUAAACAUGCAAGUGCUUUAUACUCAGGAUUAUCACCAAAAAUUGGAUUAACAAAUAAAGGAAAAGAUAAAUAUACAAUCAUGACUAUAAAAUUGUUAAAAAUAAUUUUUGAAUCUAAGACUCCGUUUGGAUUGGCUAUUUUUUCAAAAAAUAAGUUUUUCAAAUACAAUAUUACAGUAAUAUACAAUAACUCAAAAAACAUCUCAUCCAUAUUAGUAUAUCAAAUAUUUCAAAAAAAAUUUAUAGUAAAAUUUUUCAUAUACACUACUACAAUAAAAUAUUUCAAAAACACCCCCAAAAAUAGUUAAUCCAAACGGAGCCCUUGCUAUUUGAGCCCAAUGGGUACCCAAGCAUUUUUCAAAAUUUCCCAUCAAUUAAUGGGUACAAUUGGAAUUUGUCCCAUUUUAAACCCAAUAUCAAAUUCCAAUACCCAUCCCGCCCAAAAUCUCAAUGGGCAUGGGUAACCCAUUGGGAUUUGGGACAAAUUGCCACCUCUAGUUGAAAACCUACGAGUUAAAAAAGGAUUGAUCAGAAAUCUUGACAAAGCCUCCAAGGUUUGGCAGUGAGUUGUGAGUUUAUUGUUUAUGAAUCUUGAGCUAACAAUAGUGUAGAGUAUUUUAUUGUCAGUUUAUUUGUCUAGAGUCAAGUUUUAGUAUCUUUGGCUGUGAUUUUGUUGUGCCUACAUCUUUGGCAUACUACAACAACUGCCUUUUCCUUCCCAUGUUAAGAGAAAAUUCUGAAGAAGCUAAAGUACAUAUGCUUAAAGUAGUAAAAAAAAGUUAAACAAUCACACUUAGAACAAAAUGGCACAUUGCUAUUAAUUUUCACCGCCCUUUGCCUCCUAAAUUUUGCAAAAGUAAUCAUUGAUUAGAUUUGUGCAAAGUGCCAAAAAUUAAGAGUUUAAAGUGCAAAGUGUUCAAAAUUGAAAUUUAUGGUAUAAAGUGAAAAUGAUAUAAGUUUAGGGUGCAAAGUGAAAUUAAUCCUAUUCUUUUAUUCUCAACCCUUAAGUUCUUUUUUGUAAUUGUUGCUAAAUAUCAAAUUUAAGAGCACCAAAACAAAUUUUGGUCCUUUUUAUAUGCUAAAGUACAUAUGGUUUAAGAAUUUCACCAUUUAUUUUUCUUCUUCCUAGUCGUGUCAUCUCCAUAUCUUUUUGAAUUUUCUACUGAUUAUUAAGAAGCACUAAUUAGUAUAUACUCCCUCCGUCCCAUUGUUAUUGUCAUAGUUCACCUUUUUUCAUGUCCCAAAAUUUGAGUCACACUACAAUUUUUUUCUCUAACAUUCCAUUUGUACCCUCAAAAGAGACAUUGAUAAAACAAAAAACAAGUAUGAUGGAACCCACAAAAGCAAUAAAUAGACAUCCAAAAAAAAGGUGCGUGGACAGCACCAAAAAUUUUGAUGGCCACAAACAGGCGCGUGCUUGGCAACAGCAUGAAAAAGAGCUUACAUUUUAUAUGGACCCACAGAUUCUUUUCACAUCACCAUAGACAGCAAUUAAGAUUUGAUAUCGGUCAAAGGGGCACGAUUGGAAAAAAAUGUCUCACAUUCAAAUUGAUUGAACUGUGCAUAAUAAGUUAGAAUCCCCAAAAACGUCCCUUAUUUUGGGACGGAGGGAGUACAAUUCAAGGAAUUGGACAUAGUAACAUUUAUGGUUCCCUGGAUUUUAUACUUUUCCCUGAUAUAAAUUACCAUUAAAAAAAAUAACAUAAUCCUUAAACAAUCCUUUUCUUAGAAUUUUCUUUAAUGCUACCAUUCAAUGAUUCAAAAGAGAUUUAAACGGAAAUUUUUAAAAUUGCACGCAUCUCCCUUGCCUUUGUCCACAUGAUGCCCAAUGAAAUGUUUUCCUGAAGGGGAAUUCUAAUGAAAGUAUUUGAGCAAUAGUCUCUACUCACUUUUUAGUUUAAUUUGAUGCGCUGCAAAUAAGCAUCCAAUAAUCAAUUACAACAUUAUAAAAUACAAAUUUGUUAAACAAGUCAUUCACUAGUUAGGUUCUAAUGAAAAGAUUUUAGUACCUUAAAGGUACUUUGGAUUGGCUAUUAUUUGCAAAAAAAAAAAUUAUUUAUUUGAAUCACAAACAUAUUUUUUUAAUCAUCUUCUUAUCUAGUUAAUCAUUAUCACACAUACAUCACAUUACAAAAAAAAUGGUAGAGCAAUUAUUCCCAAAAAAAAUUAUAAAUAAUCUUAUAUCCAAACACACACUUUGUUUGGCAAAAUACCUCAUUUAGUGGUGGUACUAAACCUUGUUUGGAUUGUGAUUUUCACAGAAAAAUUUGUACAUUUUCCGUGAACAUAUUUUCCAAUUAUCUUUUUACCUCACACAUAUCAAAUUGCUACAAUAUAUUCUUUCUACAAAAACUCUGAAAAAUAGCAAUCCAACUGGUUCAAAGAAACGAGUCUAUGUACAACCUAGAAAAGAAUAGAAGUAUCAAUGAGUCUAAUCAAAUCGAGGAUUCUAGUGUUAAAACUUGUUUAUUAUUUUCACAAAUUUAAAAUUAUGUUUAACCUUGCAUUGUUAUAUUUGUCAAGUCCAAAUCAAAAACUUUUACCUAGUCAAAAUGAAAUAAACUUUUACCAAGUCGAGUUCACAUAAUUUGAAUUUUUUACAUAUAAAAUUAAAUCUCAAGUAAAUCAAGUCGGUUUAAAUCAAGUUUGAAACUUUAACACCAAAAACUGUUCAUGUUUGGCAUGAUUCAUUAUAAAUCAAGCUCAAACAAAUUUUUUUCUAACCGAGCUCAGCCGAGUGUUGGUUUGUUUUUCACCAUUAAGAAAGAAAGCGAAAUCGUUUGUUGAAAAAAAAAAAAAAAAAAAAGAAAGACAGGCGAAAUGCUAAUGCCUAGAAGUUAAUUGGGGCAAAAUAAAUUUAUCUCAAAAGAAAAAAAAAACCCCACUAAAAGGAAUUUUUUAAUUAUCUCCUCUCAAAAAAGACCCCGCCGCAAUUGGAUUUCAAAAUCAUUCAAACCACCCUGGACGGCUGGACCAGAUGGUCCCCACUCAAUCCAGCCCUGCUCCAACUACAAUUAUAUGUGAGAAGGAGCUGAGUUGCUAGUAGCUGCUGCACAAAUCAACUGGUGAAACUUGAAACCAGAGAAUACAGAUGUUCAGAACUUUUGGCACAAAACUGAAACCAGUUCUCAACUUGAGUACCAGAGUAGUCAGUACUCAGUAGGACGAAGGUGCUGCCAGCAAAGAACAUUAAACAGUUUUGAAAAAAAAAAAAAAAUAGGAGUAGGUGUCUCAGUUUUUUUUUUCUUAAAAAAAAAGAGAGAGAUCGAUGAACAUUAAAGUUUUUGCAUUUAAAUUGGAAUGAUCAACAAAGUUUUGCAACGAACAUGAAAUUCAGUUACCUAAAAUCAUUCAAUCUUUUCAUCAGAUAAGAUGUAAUCUACAAUCUCUUAUCUUGUCCACAACACUGAAUCUAUUUCAUUUCUAGCAGCCUUGUACAACUCCAACUUCCUAGAGCACUGCUGCCUCCUUUCCAUUAACACUGGAUCUUCAUCCAAUAACUGAGCAAGCUGACGACAAGAUAAAAACAAUUAAACUCAAAGCUUUGUACAAAAUCCUCAUUCUAUGACCUAUCAUUAGCAACUUUGUGUGUAAAAUUGGCUUUGAUGCAAAUUUUUUUAACAUGUAGUAACAAAAUUUGACUGAGAUUACGCCCAAUGAGUGAAAAUAUGGAAUUCCAACUCAUGAAAAGCUUUUGAGAAAACUCGUUUUGGUCCACUGCGUAGUUCAAACUGUCAAAGUGUUUUGACAGCAGUGAUUCAAAGACCAACCAUUUCCUCCAAGUGGUUUCAGACUAGAUUUAGUUCCGAUUACUGUUGCUUCAGCAAAAACAAAUUAGAGUCCAGUGGAAAUCGUCCUGAUAUCUCCCCUCCCCUCCCCCACCCCAAAAAAAGAUAAACCAAAGAAAAAGAGAAAAGCAGAAGAAAACAAUCAAUUGACCUCCUGUAACUAAGAUGUCAGAGAAGGAUAUAUACCUCCUUUUUGCCAACUUGUGUAAGAAGUGAUCUAGUAAAGUUCGCUUCGCCUCUUGAACUUGACAAUAUACUACAGCUUUGGGAAUCGUGUUCUUGAGAGUCUCAGACACCAUGCCUACAUAGGAGGAAUCAUUUGAACCUAUGAAGUGCCCCUCACUGUAACGGUCAGCACAGAGACAUUUGGAUUUCCACCUUUUCGGCUUCUUGCGGGAGUUUUCUAAAGAAAUCCAGUGAGGUAUGAGGCCUCCAUGUCUACCAUUCGCAACACAGUCUUCUUGCUGUCAUCACGAAACCUUUCCAAUGCCUCAUUUGCUGCAGCUACUAUUUCUGCCUGGAGAGUUGGAAAACGUCUAAGCGCCUGCAUUUUAGAGUUCCAUCAUCAACUCUCUUUUGACGAAUAAAUGUUCACAAAUGUCACCGGGAUGGACUUGUGACUUUUACCUGUGUUUCUCGAAUUGACUUGCGGACAAGCUCCUUCAAGAUGAAGUGUAUCUAAGAAAAACAAGCAAUUACUUUUGCAAAACUAUAGAUACAGACACCAUCUCUUUGCAUAUAAGAAAAUUUGUUUUGCCAGCAGUAUUUUCAUUUAUUCCAGUUGUACACUUGAAAUAAAUCCAUUGAUCCAGUCUUCAAACUUUGACCUCAACCCAAGUAUAAUGCUAAUGUGUUAGUCUUCUUAUCAUAUGCCCAUUUACUGCCAAUGGACUGCUAAUUCUUCCUUACCAGAAAUGGUCAUUAAUCCAACCAAAAUAGGCAUGCUUAAGCAGUUAAUGAGAAUCCAUUAUCCAAGUGAUACAUGUAGACUGAAGCACUUACUGCAUCAACUGAAGCUUCAGCCGGACCUCUGAAAUAACUGAGAGAACUCUCAAUCAGGCGUCUGUAACCUUGUUCUGGUGCUAUAAGAUGAGGUUGGUAUCCAUCUGCUUGACAGACACUUUCUUUACAUUUUGUAGUGAGAGAUGCCAAUCAAAAGGGAGCUUCCUCAAAGCAAUAGGGAGUUGGUGGUCAAAAACUACAUAAAUCCGAUCUCCCCCUGGCCGCAUAUCAAGAGAAGUAAUAGAUGCUUAACAUAACCAAUAUGGGAGUACAGAUGCUUAUUCCGUGAAAAAUGCAAAAGUAAAAGCGGUACGCCUAUUUGUGGAGAUUUAAAAAUCUCAUGGUCAAACUUUUAGUGGAAGUUAGUAUAGUGAGAUCACAAAUUCUUGUAAUCCUCAUAAGGGUUUCAAAAAAUUCAAUGUAGUCAACAGAUGUUGAAAAUCAUUCAAUUUACUCCAUCUACUUCACAGUUUUUAAGGAUAAGGUCCUAAAAUCAAUUUUAGAUUGCAAUUUUCCUAAAACAAUUUAUACCUCCAUCUUAUUCGACUGCAUGACAUGGUUUCUUUGCACGAAAAGGACCUUAAGUUGCAAUUGAAAACUCUGGUGCAGCAAAUAUUAGUGAUAGCGAAAGGACUGGUAUGAUCACUUUAAAUUUGACUGCAUUAGCAUUUCUGAAAACUUCACAGUCUAGCAGGCAUAAACAAAUUUUCCUAUAACAGCUGAGUUGCUAUUUCAAACAUCAUGUCGCCAUCAAUUGUAUAAUCUAAGAUGUUUAAUGCCCAAACUUAAGAAACAUCCAGCCAGCAGGACGUGCAAUGACUCAACCAAAUGGCUGGUGUUACAUGGUCUUCAGUCGUAAGUGGCUGCAACUACAAACUGCAUGCUUGCACAUUCUUUUCUUGGCAAGUGAUAGUGUUAUUGCCAAUUAAUUAUGGAACCAAAUGGUUUCUAAGAAUCAAAUAUUCAAGUUGAUUUAAUUCUCUAUUUGAUGCAUUAGACUACUUUUUAAGUGAAGAUAAAUUUUCUUUAUACAUUUGUGUACUUCUCACCCCCCCCCCCAAAAAAAACCCUUUUUUUUGUUUUCUGUUUUGUAGGCCAUGGGGGUGGGUGGGGGAGUGAGUAGCAAACAGUUGCACGAGGUGAGGCUGGAAGAAAUACGUACCCUCCUUCAAGGUGUUCCUUGAAUACUCGAUCAAAUGCCCGACAGAGCUCCAAGAUUGUGUAUAACUGGGCCUACAAUAUUGAACAAAUUACUCAACACAGAAAUUGGCAAAAUGUUUAGACAAAUUUACCAAAGUAGGUAUAUGUCCUCACCCCUUCAUCUAUUGAAACAGGUCUGCCAAAAUGGGUAAGAUCUGAUUUAAGUUCAUCGGUAGUUUUGUUGAUCAAAGACACAAGACUAGGUAUGCGGGCCUUUAUCACUGAUUCUAGGUGCUGACACCACAGAUAUUUUCAAAAUAACUAUUAGUGAACUCUAAAUUAUUCUAAACAAUGGAAAAAUAUUGCGGCAUUUGUAAGCAAAACAUAAGUGCAAACAUGUACCUUGGAAAGAAGUUUUGCGAGAUACUCUGAACCCAUUCUGCUGGCCAAGUGCCCAUAUUCAGGGCUAGUUGCAAAGAAUUCCCGCUCCCUAUGCCUGGUGGCAAUCAUGUCAAGAUUUCUGUUUAUGUCAGCUUGUUAACGGUUAAUGACCCCAACCCAGGGAUGUUGCAAUCGGUAUGAUCUUCCUUCAAGUACCUUGAUGGAAGAAAGGUGAACCUUGAGUGAGUAAUCUAGAGGCAGGGUGGGGAGGAAUUCUAAAUCCUGAAAUGGCAUCUAAAUAAAGACAUUGCUAGUCGCUCAAAUAGAACAGAAUAAAAACUGGAAAUUUUUUUUUUAAAAACUGUAAGUUAAUAAUGUUUGCAUACUCAGAAAUCUUACUGUAGGAUAUAGGAAAAAAGAAAAACAAAAAAAUAGAGUGGCCAUACUACUACAUUCCCUGAGAACUACAGGCGAAAUUUGCAGAGAUAAACAAUAUGGUAUAGCUUUAAUAACCAACUGGCAUCUGCAGUGGUGACACUUAGGUGUGGGUAAUGAAAACAAGUAACCAAUCGACAUUCUUCACAGGCUCGAAUGGAACUGCAUCCUAAUGAAAUAUAUCUAUAAUACCCUUGAUAAUUAUAACUUCCAAAAGUAUAAAGGACUCAAGUGUCAGUUUUUGUCUUCGAAAGGAAACUACAUAUAAUCAUCCAACUCAUGCCUGCUCUAACUUCAGCUAAUUCAAGAGCAAUUCCCUGAAAAACUAAAUAACCUGCAACAACUCCAUCUAGUUUGGAGAUUCAUCAUGUUAACACAACAAUCAUGAAGAUCCAAAGAAUUUAAACGGUUGCUUCUAAAAUCCCUUGUCAAUCUUGAGCAUAUCUAAUUAGAAAUGACCUAAAAAAAACAUAGAGCUUGACUCUAAAAAUGCUGAUGUUAAACUCCAGAUAUUGAGAAAGAUGACAACAAAAAGAAAGUUGAGUAAGAACCAACCAGAAAACUGGCUAAAACCAAGUUUAUGGAACAAUGUUAGGCACAAUACCUAAUAUAUUGGUAGAAGCUAUCUUGCCAAACAAUAGAUUGAUAUAAGCAGUCACUUUCAACCAGUCUAAGACAAACUUCUUGGAGAAAGUAAAGACACUUACAUCCAGAGCAUUUGUUCCUUUAUCCAUCAAAUCAAGCUUUGUCAACACGCCAAAGGUCCGUUCUCCGGUAUAUAGGAUGCAUCAAUAGUGAAAAGAACCAAAAAUUAUUUCCAAGAAUACAGCCAAUAGGUUAAGACGAGAGAGUGACGAAGCAAGUUUGUUAAAACUCUACCACAGAAAUUACCUGCUGGAUCAACUUCUCGUGCAAUCUUGAUAGCAUCAGAUGUUGCAAGAUCUUGAUUGGCAGGAGUUAUGGCCAAGAUGAUUGUAUUUGGCUACAACCAGAAACAAUAUGAUCAGCAAUCAAAUGCAAAUACAAACUGCAAUUUUGUCCAAAAUCGACAAAUUCUGUUCUUCAAUUCCAGUUCAAGGGUGUGCUAAAGGUUAAGAAAAUUCCAGUGAAGAAGAAUCUUCUGUCAUUAUAUAAAAUGACACUUCAUGCUUACAAGAAGCUGCUUAUCAUGUCUCCAAACUCAGAAGUUACCUUCAUAUGCUUCCAAAUCUUAUAAGGAGAGUCAUUUACCGAAUCAAACUAGAUAAAAAAUGAUAAUGAGUGGCACACCCAAAUCAAAGUGCUUCAGUUUUAGUAUAAGCAUCAAUCAAUAGGAUCAGAAGAGUUCUCUGAGAUUUAGCUAUUCAAUGAGAGUAUUUUCCACAAAAUAUGACAGCAUCGUUCUACCUUCUCUACAUAUGAGCGAACCAUAUUUUCAAUUUCUUGGACUAUGCUUUCAUGCUGUCCCUCUGCAAACGCAAACUUGUAAGUAAGACAUAAUGAUUGUGCAACAAAGAAUAACAGAAAAUUAGCAAAAAAAGAAUGACAUACCCACAGCAGCUUUGGUUAAACCAGGUAAAUCUACCAAAGUUAAAUUUACAACUGCAAGUAAAGAAAUUAAGCGAAAGGAAAAGAUAUUGUUAGUGAAGGAAUGAGAUAAUAAUAUGAAGAAAACCAGAACUGCAAAAUUAAGGAUCACCAAAGUAAGAAAUCAAUAUCUUAAACCAUAAUCGCCAAAAGUUAAGAAAUCAUGAAAGAUUUCUCAAAUUAAAACGCACCAUUAGGGGAGUAGAUACUGAGAUUAAUGGGCAGCGCAGAGAUCUGCUUAGCUUUCCCAGUCACCCUGUCAGUUUCUUCCUGAAUCUCUUUCCCAACGAUGGCUUCACAAGAAAAGCAUAAUGAAUCAAAAUGAACAUGCUACUAGUGUACGGGUGUGCAAAAAUGUCUUUUAUGAAGGUUUUUCACUCCACUUAAAGAAAUGGAAAAACCACUAGGAAAAAAAUCUAAGAUGAUAAAAUGUCUACCAGUGGUAAGGCACUGUUACUUUCAAAUGACGCAGAUAUGGCUAUGUUGCCACGUCACCAAGGCAAAAGCUGACAGCUAAUCAGAAAAUAAACAGAUCAUCCUAUUCUGCAGUUUAAUGAAUAAAAAGAGGCAAUUCAUGCAGCCUUACACCUGCAAGUUAAGCAGCUUCGUUGCAUUCAACUAGUGAUUUUCAUUUCACUCUCAAAACUAUCCAAUGCAUUUACAAUAUUCACAACAUUACCAUUUAAAACAGCAGAAGAAAAUAACUUACAAAAGUCUAUGAAUUUUUUCUCUCCAGUAUGAAGAAACUGUGCAUAAUCCUCUUUUCCAGGAUCUAUCUUGUAGAGUUGCAGUAUCAGAGGCCUUCUCGUUACAAUCCUACAAGCAUUAUAAAUUAAAAACCCAUAAGCAUAAUUAGUCGCUCCGAAGAACACUAAAAUCAGGAAAAUUGAAGCAAGGGGAAUAAAUGAUAGACAUUUGCUCUGUUUAAGAGCUGUGAUGCAUUCAAACUUCAUUCUUAAUUUCCUCAAACUCCCUCAGCAAGAAUGACGCUGGUAGUUAAUGAUGUGAAAUCCAUUAACAACACGCGAUGGCCUCUCGCAUUUAGUAUUCACCACGAAAGCAUUUCUACUCCAACAUCAAACUUGUAACAUUCGAUCAUCAUAAUGCAACUAACUCUCUUAAUUAGCAUCAAUUAAAUCACAAAAUUAUACACACAAUGACAAAAGGCAACGAGAAUGUAAAGAUAAAGAGAAUAAACAAGAAAAAAUAGAGAAAAAAAACCUGAUCCUCUAGGCAGAAAAUCACGCCCAACGAAGCUCUCCAACACCGAUGACUUCCCCGAACUCUACACGUCAUGAGCAAACCAAAUGGCAAAAAGAAAAUUCAUAUUCUUUUCCAAAAAAUAUUAACUAGUCAUCUACUUGCAUUCCUAAUAAACUCUGCCAAAGAAAUCAAUAUACAUUAAAAUUGAAGUGCAUAGAAACGCACAAAUGUUAUGCAUGUUCGCUGUACGAAUUUAUAUAAUCACAAUUUUACUGCUACUCACUCUAAAAAAACCUUAAAAAACAUUAAAAACAGAAAACACUUCAAAAUCUUCCACCGGCAACUUCUGAAGCCUCGACUCCUCCUCGGGUGCACACACAGCAAGACACAGCAGUAUGUGAUGCUGUAAAAAGUAUAUAUACAGAGAGAAAGAAGAAAACCUGGCCGCCGAGGACGACGAUGGUGGGAGAGAGUCCCAAAGAGUUGGCAAAGAGCCAUCAUCGCCAUAAUCACCGAGAAGAGUACAAGCUUUCUGGAGUGUAUUCACAAGUCCGAUCACACUUUCCAUCUCGCUACAUGUACCCAAGCUAGCGGGUGCCUGAGGAGUUCCGGCGUUCAAAAAUUUUCCGACGCCGGUGAAGAAGAGAAGCAGUAGGAGGAGCUGGAGAAGAGGUAGGGGUGAAGUAGAGGGGAGGUAGAGAAGGAAAAUGAGACAAGUAACGGAAGCUAUUUUAAAAUUAUUAUAUUUUGACCUGUCAGGAAAUUUUUUGUUUAGUUUUAGAGCGAGAAAGUAGAGAGUGGGCCUUUUUGUGCGGCAGUUGUUGGAGCGAAGGGAUUGUGGGAUAAGAUGCAACUCAUCCGCAUAUGUAACUGAGAAUUUGCAGCUAUGGUGGUGCCUCUCUCCAUUUCGCCUCCUCUUUGUACAGAUCUGAGCCUGAUUGAUCAUUGCGUAUCUCUUCUUUAUAUCUUUUAAUUACUCGAUUAUUUUUGUUCCAGUCUUGUGGCACGUUGAUUUAUUGGUGGAUGAAUUCCAUUGGAAACAAUACAUUGAUAGGCCUAGAAACAUCAGAAGGAACCCGGAAAUUUUAUGCAGCAAUUAUAUGUUACGAAACAUUAAUUUUGACUUUUACUGCAUUGUCAUGUUACUGCAUCGUCAAUAAGUACAGUCUGCAGUGAAUCAGCAUUUGUUUGAUAUAAUGUAAUUUCUGUUUCAAUUUUGGUUUUAGGAAAUUGAUAUUGGUCAUGCACUGAUUAAUUUCUGGCAUUGAUAAGCACUUCUAAGUUCCAUAACUUGGUUCUUGAAUUAUUCACUGGACAAAUCCUUACUGGGGAGACGAAGACUUUAACACAUUUCACUCUUCAUUCAUUUUGCAAAUUAUAUUAGUUUCUCUGAUUUUGCACAUGCACUUGGACUUUACCUUAAUUACCCUGCUGCUAUAAUGCUUUGCUUUAAUGGAUAUAGCAUCAACAUCUCUAAGGGCACUUUGAGCUUUGACACUGCAACUUAUGAUUAACUUCAAGUACCAGGUGUGCUAUGUUUCUCCUCUUCCCCCUCUCCCGAGAGCUAUGUUGCAGGAUUUUGAUAGCAUUUUACUCAGCGCAACAAAUAUCAGUUCCAAAGAAUUGUAGGAUCUUCAGCAUUCACAUUUGGUUAAUCCACUAUGGUAUAUCAAAAGAGAGCCGAUGUCAACAUGUAGUAAAAAAUUAGCAAAAUCCUUAGUUAUGUUGAUUUACAUUUUUUAAAGAAGACGGAGCCCAAUUGUUCAUUAUUGCUAUCCUUUGCUGUUUAGGUUUCGUUUUAAGCACAUAUUGCUAUCCUUUGCUGUUUAAGUUUCUUUGACUCUAUGGAGCAUGUAUCAUGAUAUAUUGAUUUAUGCCUUUUAAUGUGCUUUGCUGUUUAAGUUUCUUUGACUCUAUGGAGCAUGAUGUAUCAUGAUAUAUUGAUUUAUGCCUUUUAAUGUGCUUUGCAUUGCAAAGCUAUCAAUCAUCAUACUUUUGAACUAAAAUAUUCUCGACUAAUAUUCCAAAACAAUAUAAAAAAUAUCACAAAAACAAAUACGACUUUACUAACAGGUCUAAAGUUCCAUCACAUGGUAAUACAAAUAAAACUCAGCAACCACAUGGUAAACGACCAUAACAAUAAACUCAGACGCAGGCAUAAAACAAAAGGACCAAAUCAUCAAAAAGUAUUACGAGUCAACGACCACACCAACAAAAACAAAAUCAGCAACAGCAACAAAAUAAUUUCAGCAUCUAAGUGGACAAUAUUCCCAAGUGAUUUCAGCAAAGAUUCAAAUCUCCACACACAAUAGCAUCCACUCAAUUCCCAAGUCGAUCAUGAAAUUCAACCUCCUUCAAACGCAUUUGCCACCACCCUCGCAUGGCUCCUAGACCCAAAAAUUGGAACAAUUAAAGCACUGGAAAACAUUGAAAAAUCCCCACAAAAAUGAAGAUAAACCACCACCACUAGUUUACCUUUAACUGAAAUAACAAUGGUUAAAUCAUACUAAACUAGAAACGUCUCAUCUAGGGGGGGGGGGGGGAAGAAUGAUCAUCUCAUUUUUGCAGCAGACAUGGAAUGAGCCUAAAUGGCCGCCGAUACUUGAUAUCUGUAAUAAUCACAUGGAACAACUAUUUUCAAGGGCCUUCUAGUUGAAUAACCACACCAUAACAAAAUGUUUUGCACAACCAAACAAUCAGUAAAUCAACUAUCAUGAGCCAACCAUCUGUUAAAUUACAUCAUAUCAGAAUGAGAACCAGAAUCAGAAUAUGAUUCAUUUACCAUGUGAUCAGGCUGCUGAAAACAUGUCAAUCUAAUUGGUUUACAACUUAAAAACUAAUGACCAAUUGAGAUGGUCCUAACUCCAAUCCUUAGGCAACGUGCCCACGUUAUACCGAGUAUUCGAUUAGUUAUUGCCCUGACAAUUUAAUUUAGCAGUCACAACUCCCUUACAGAGGCCAGGUAUUAAACUUGAUAAACAACAACGGCUCGUAUCUGUUGCACAUCUUCUUUAUUUUUCCCCCACUUUUUACGAGGGAAACCCAAGUGCAGUUAACAGACACAGCAGAAACCCAAAAAGGGCCAAAAAAGUAAAAAGUGAAAUUAGCACCAUGCAGGGAAGAAAAAACUACCAAAAUCGUGUCAGUCUGCAAUGGGUGGUGGUGGCGGCGGCAGCGGCUCCAGGCUGGUUGAAGGAAGAAAUUAGGAGCAUAGCGUUAAUAAUAGGAAUUGGUUGCAACUAGCAGGUAGAAGUCUCGGUGGUAUUGGUAGGUGGCAAUGAAGGGUUAGUGAGUGAUGGACCGGUGGGUAUAAGAGUAUCGAGAAUGGAGACGAGAGAGAACAAGAAAACAGCGGAUUAAGUUAAGGUGAAAGGUGGAAAGAGUGAAAUUAGUGGAGUGGUGUAACUACGAACCCUAUUACGGUAAAAAGACUUGUGUACCACGGUUUCCAAUCAUGAGAAAAUCUCAGCUCAGCUCCUUUAAAAUUCAAACCCUAUUUCGUAAGCUGAGCAUGAGCUUAUCCAAAAAUUGAACCCAGCCUUUGCUACGGGAUCUUUGCAGCCCUAAAAGUCAGAGAAUCUUUCGAGCUUUUGUUAUUAUAUCCAAUUAUGACACUACUGUUUAAUCUAAAGCUUUUUUUUUUUUCUUUCUUUUUUAACAGAUUAUGACACUACUGUUUAAUCAAAACUAUACAUAAUAUUUUCAUCAGUCCAUAUGAGACAAAUCCUGUUUUAUAGGCCAACCAUGCAUCUUCAGUAAUGAAACCAAAUCUGAAUUCAACAACUAAAAGAUUCUGCUUAGGACUCCACACUCCACCCAGUACAUGCUUAGGACUCCAAACUUACUUGCUGCAACCAAAUGCCAGAAGCAUUGUCAAUAUUGACAACUCCAAAAUCCAGGGCAAGUUGCAGAUUUAUGUCACAAUCUCUACUACGGUACAACUCAUUUUUGGCCAAUAUAUCUGGUGAAAACCAAAAAGUUUUCUUUUUACUAUAAGAAACAUAAUUAACACCUAGGCCAACUACUUACUGUUUGCCAUCCAGCAGGCAAUGCACAGCCAUUAGUGGCAACCAAAGCAGGAAAGUAACAAAAUGGACAAACAACACAUCCACACUACAGAAGCCGAAAGAGAUCAAUAUAAAGCUACGAUGGUACCUUAGGAAUUUUAAGCCUGCAAAGGUAGACUUUCCUAUCACCCCCAGCAGCAGAUUCAUGCACACACGCUUGGAAUUCCCCCACAUCACCAGUAUUGAAAUCCUUGGCCACAAAGGUCAAAUAGAACUUGGCGCCCCCAGCUGUAGUGAGAACGCAAUUCAAAAUCUUGCCUGCUCUAAAGCCAGUUUGCUGCCAAUUUAAUAAUUUUUUUUUUCAAAAAAUCAUAGUUAAAAAAACAGCGGAGGAAGAAGAAGAAGAAGAUUAACAUAACCAAAAUGAAUAAACAGACAAAAAAAGGCAAAAGCGUACAUACAUUUUUCUUGUUAUAGUGAAUAAUAGCAGUAUUCACCCUGUUCUUAACAUAUCUGUAGAAAAAGCCAUCAGUCUUCAAGUCUUCAAGACAGUUAAAAAAACGGCCUCUCGUCUUCUCCAAAUUAAACACCUGUGCAAUUGUGUGCAUGUAUAUAGGCAUUUAUAAGCUCUGGAUUCAACAGAUAGUGUGGAUAUGUCAUAAAAAAAGGUACGAAAUUGUAUACCACAUCAUAUAUUUCUCCAAUUCUUCAUUUUUUAUACACCAUUCAUCCAAAAAGAAAGGAUCGAACAGGAAAGCGUGGUGUUCGGACCAGUCGGACUCGGACUCGGACCCUGACCCCGACCCGUCGGGCUCGAUUCGGACCCGUCAGAAUCGGCCUCGUCGGACUCGGCGCCGCGCACGUACUCGUAAUCCUCUCCGGACUCGUAAUUGGUGUCGAGGUCGUCAAACUGAAGUCCAUCCCGGUUUAGGGAUGACAUUUCGCUGGAAGAGGAUGACUUUCCUUGGUCGGCGUCCUUGUCCGCUACUUCUUCUCCGUCGAUUCCUCGAUCCUCCGCCGCUGGUUGAUAAACUCCAAGUUCUUCGUCGGAGGAAAGUAACUUUCCCGGAUCCAUCUGAAGAGGAAAAAACCCUAUAUUUUUUGGUUGAUCAUAAAGUACAAUAUGCCGACAUCACCUUAACGGCUUAACCAUAGCACCUUAUAAGUUGGGCUAAGAGACAGUGGCAAGGUGAUUACCUGAUU
RNAcentral lists this long non-coding RNA (31737 nucleotides) under Coffea arabica (coffee). RNAcentral's name for it is "long non-coding RNA (CARA_LNC003838)". The record is from RNAcentral. Lineage: Eukaryota; Viridiplantae; Streptophyta; Magnoliopsida; Gentianales; Rubiaceae.